UUCCUACGGGAGGCAGCAGUGGGGAAUAUUGCACAAUGGGGGAAACCCUGAUGCAGCGACGCCGCGUGAGUGAAGAAGUAUUUCGGUAUGUAAAGCUCUAUCAGCAGGGAAGAAAAAAGACGGUACCUGACUAAGAAGCCCCGGCUAACUACGUGCCAGCAGCCGCGGUAAUACGUAGGGGGCAAGCGUUAUCCGGAUUUACUGGGUGUAAAGGGAGCGUAGACGGUAUGGCAAGUCUGAAGCGAAAGCCCAGGGCUUA
Molecule: ribosomal RNA, 259 nt
Filed under: uncultured bacterium
Lineage: Bacteria
Description: partial 16S ribosomal RNA
Rfam family: Bacterial small subunit ribosomal RNA
Source: RNAcentral